AUACGUAGGGUGCAAGCGUUAAUCGGAAUUACUGGGCGUAAAGCGUGCGCAGGCGGUUUUUUAAGACAGUGGUGAAAUCCCCGGGCUCAACCUGGGAACUGCCAUUGUGACUGCAAGGCUGGAGUGCGGCAGAGGGGGAUGGAAUUCCGCGUGUAGCAGUGAAAUGCGUAGAUAUGCGGAGGAACACCGAUGGCGAAGGCAAUCCCCGGGGCCUGCACUGACGCUCAUGCACGAAAGCGUGGGGAGCAAACAGGAUUAGAUACCCUGGUAGUCCACGCCCUAAACGAUGUCAACUGGUUGUUGGGGAUUUAUUUUCUCAGUAACGAAGCUAACGCGUGAAGUUGACCGCCUGGGGAGUACGGCCGCAAGGUUAAAACUCAAAGGAAUUGACGGGG
Molecule: ribosomal RNA, 395 nt
Filed under: uncultured bacterium
Lineage: Bacteria
Description: partial 16S ribosomal RNA
Rfam family: Bacterial small subunit ribosomal RNA
Source: RNAcentral